This 312-nucleotide ribosomal RNA is filed under the name Encarsia smithi. Its description in RNAcentral is "eukaryotic LSU rRNA". It matches the Rfam family "Eukaryotic large subunit ribosomal RNA", at positions 666 to 944 of the family's 3401-position model. Lineage: Eukaryota; Metazoa; Arthropoda; Insecta; Hymenoptera; Aphelinidae. The record is from RNAcentral.
CCAAGGAGUCUAACAUGUGCGCGAGUCAUUGAGUCAAUUAAAGCUUAAAGGCGUAAUGAAAGUAAAGGUCGUCCUUAGCGUCGACCAAGGGAGGAUGGCUGACGUUACGAUGUUAGCUCGCACUCCCGGGGCAUCUCGUGUUCAUUGCGAACAGAGGUGCACCCAGAGCGCACACGUUGGGACCCGAAAGAUGGUGAACUAUGCCUGGUCAGGACGAAGUCAGGGGAAACCCUGAUGGAGGUCCGUAGCGAUUCUGACGUGCAAAUCGAUCGUCGGAACUGGGUAUAGGGGCGAAAGACUAAUCGAACCAUC